This 882-nucleotide ribosomal RNA is filed under the name uncultured Pseudomonadales bacterium. Its description in RNAcentral is "SSU rRNA". It matches the Rfam family "Bacterial small subunit ribosomal RNA", at positions 24 to 901 of the family's 1533-position model. Lineage: Bacteria; Pseudomonadati; Pseudomonadota; Gammaproteobacteria; Pseudomonadales. The record is from RNAcentral.
UCAGAUUGAACGCUGGCGGCAGNCCUAACACAUGCAAGUCGAGCGGUAGAGAGAAGCUUGCUUCUCUUGAGAGCGGCGGACGGGUGAGUAAUACCUAGGAAUCUGCCUGAUAGUGGGGGAUAACGUUCGGAAACGGACGCUAAUACCGCAUACGUCCUACGGGAGAAAGCAGGGGACCUUCGGGCCUUGCGCUAUCAGAUGAGCCUAGGUCGGAUUAGCUAGUUGGUGAGGUAAUGGCUCACCAAGGCUACGAUCCGUAACUGGUCUGAGAGGAUGAUCAGUCACACUGGAACUGAGACACGGUCCAGACUCCUACGGGAGGCAGCAGUGGGGAAUAUUGGACAAUGGGCGAAAGCCUGAUCCAGCCAUGCCGCGUGUGUGAAGAAGGUCUUCGGAUUGUAAAGCACUUUAAGUUGGGAGGAAGGGCAUUAACCUAAUACGUUGGUGUCUUGACGUUACCGACAGAAUAAGCACCGGCUAACUCUGUGCCAGCAGCCGCGGUAAUACAGAGGGUGCAAGCGUUAAUCGGAAUUACUGGGCGUAAAGCGCGCGUAGGUGGUUUGUUAAGUUGAAUGUGAAAUCCCCGGGCUCAACCUGGGAACUGCAUCCAAAACUGGCAAGCUAGAGUAUGGUAGAGGGUAGUGGAAUUUCCUGUGUAGCGGUGAAAUGCGUAGAUAUAGGAAGGAACACCAGUGGCGAAGGCGACUACCUGGACUGAUACUGACACUGAGGUGCGAAAGCGUGGGGAGCAAACAGGAUUAGAUACCCUGGUAGUCCACGCCGUAAACGAUGUCAACUAGCCGUUGGGAGUCUUGAACUCUUAGUGGCGCAGCUAACGCAUUAAGUUGACCGCCUGGGGAGUACGGCCGCAAGGUUAAAACU